RNAcentral lists this ribosomal RNA (274 nucleotides) under uncultured bacterium. Its description in RNAcentral is "partial 16S ribosomal RNA". It matches the Rfam family "Bacterial small subunit ribosomal RNA", at positions 523 to 796 of the family's 1533-position model. The record is from RNAcentral.
AGACGGAGGGUGCAAGCGUUGUUCGGAAUCACAGGGCGUAAAGCGCGUGUAGGCGGUCCGAUAAGUCGGAUGUGAAAGCCCGAGGCUCAACCUCGGAAGUGCAUUCGAAACUGUCGGGCUGGAGUACGGGAGAGGGAAGUGGAAUUCCUGGUGUAGAGGUGAAAUUCGUAGAUAUCAGGAGGAACACCGGUGGCGAAGGCGGCUUCCUGGACCGAUACUGACGCUGAGACGCGAAAGCGUGGGGAGCAAACAGGAUUAGAUACCCGAGUAGUCC